UACAGAGGGGGCGAGCGUUGUUCGGAAUUACUGGGCGUAAAGGGCGCGUAGGCGGCCCGCUAAGUCGAACGUGAAAUCCCCAGGCUCAACCUGGGAACUGCGUCCGAUACUGGCAGGCUUGAAUCCGGGAGAGGGAUGUGGAAUUCCAGGUGUAGCGGUGAAAUGCGUAGAUAUCUGGAGGAACACCGGUGGCGAAGGCGGCAUCCUGGACCGAGAUUGACGCUGAGGCGCGAAAGCCAGGGGAGCAAACGGG
This 253-nucleotide ribosomal RNA is filed under the name uncultured bacterium. RNAcentral describes it as "partial 16S ribosomal RNA". It matches the Rfam family "Bacterial small subunit ribosomal RNA", at positions 524 to 776 of the family's 1533-position model. The record is from RNAcentral.